RNAcentral lists this ribosomal RNA (317 nucleotides) under uncultured Tricholomataceae. RNAcentral's name for it is "partial large subunit ribosomal RNA". It matches the Rfam family "Eukaryotic large subunit ribosomal RNA", at positions 40 to 350 of the family's 3401-position model. The record is from RNAcentral. Lineage: Eukaryota; Fungi; Basidiomycota; Agaricomycetes; Agaricales; Tricholomataceae.
AUAUCAAUAAGCGGAGGAAAAGAAACUAACAAGGAUUCCCCUAGUAACUGCGAGUGAAGCGGGAAAAGCUCAAAUUUAAAAUCUGGUGGUCUCCGGCCGUCCGAGUUGUAAUCUAGAGAAGUGUUAUCCGCGCUGGACCGUGUACAAGUCUCCUGGAAUGGAGCGUCAUAGAGGGUGAGAAUCCCGUCUUUGAUCCAGAUGUAGCCUUCUAUGUGAUACGUCUUCAAAGAGUCGGUUUGUUUGGGAAUGCAGACCAAAAUGGGUGGUAAAUUCCAUCUAAAGCUAAAUAUUGGCGAGAGACCGAUAGCGCACAAGUA